Molecule: small RNA, 931 nt
Filed under: Pongo abelii (Sumatran orangutan)
Lineage: Eukaryota; Metazoa; Chordata; Mammalia; Primates; Hominidae
Description: processed transcript
Source: RNAcentral
UUCCCUGAGGUGGGUGCGUGUCUAUGUGUUGAGGGGACUAUUCCUAGUUUAUGAGGUGGUAAAUAAAGGAUGUCGGUGGGGUGGGCUGGAGCGGUGACGGGUUAGGUCUGAGAGAAGGCUUCGCACAAAACACUGUACAAACCCGAAAGGAAGUCUGAGACACGAACCGCCUUCCUCGCUGAAGCUUCUAGAACUGGAGCAGAAAGAGGGUGUGGCCCAGGGCCAGCCCCGCCUCCUCCCCGGGCGGAAGCUGUGUGUCAGUUGCCGGAAGUCGGCGUGAGGUGGGGCUUAUGCGGCGGCGUGGUGAAACAGAUAUGGCGACUGAGGGGGAUGUGGAGCUAGAGUUAGAGACUGAGACCAGUGGACCAGAGCGGCCUCCCGAGAAGCCACGGAAACAUGACAGCGGUGCGGCGGACUUGGAGCGGGUCACCGACUAUGCAGAGGAGAAGGAGAUCCAGAGUUCCAAUCUGGAGACGGCCAUGUCUGUGAUUGGAGACAGAAGGUCCCGGGAGCAGAAAGCCAAACAGGAGCGGUAAGUCUUCAGGGGCAGCCAACUUUAAUUCUUCCUUCCCCGGUCCCCAGACAAAAAUAAAAACCAUUAUUAAGCCUUUAUACAGUUCUUCAGCUUUAUCACCAAUCCUGCAGAUCCAGGCGCCACAACUUUACUCUUGUUAGCAGAAGGCCUCCUGGCAACACCUGCUGCUAAGACUCCAGGGGAAAGGAGUAUUAGUGGGAGUCUUUAUUUUCAGUCAAGGGUUUAUCAAGAUUUAUUUACAGGGCACAUCUGGGAAUGACCCUUCCUGGGAGUUUAUGGUGUUGGUUGAGAAUGAGGACUAACAUAUUUAAAUAUUUUUGCAGGGAGAAAGAACUGGCAAAAGUCACUAUCAAGAAGGAAGAUCUGGAGCUGAUAGUGAGUGGUAGUGCCUAACUA